RNAcentral lists this ribosomal RNA (667 nucleotides) under uncultured Methanomicrobiaceae archaeon. Its description in RNAcentral is "SSU rRNA". It matches the Rfam family "Archaeal small subunit ribosomal RNA", at positions 102 to 774 of the family's 1478-position model. The record is from RNAcentral. Lineage: Archaea; Methanobacteriati; Methanobacteriota; Methanomicrobia; Methanomicrobiales; Methanomicrobiaceae.
GGACAACCUACCCUAUGGAGGGGGAUAACUCCGGGAAACUGGGGAUAAUACCCCAUAGACUAUGGAUGCUGGAAUGCUUUGUAGUUGAAAGGUCCGCCGCCAUAGGAUGGGUCUGCGGCCGAUUAGGUUGUUGUUGGGGUAACGGCCCAACAAGCCUGUAAUCGGUACGGGUUGUGGGAGCAAGAGCCCGGAGAUGGAUUCUGAGACACGAAUCCAGGCCCUACGGGGCGCAGCAGGCGCGAAAACUUUACAAUGCGGGAAACCGUGAUAAGGGAACUCCGAGUGCCCGUAAAAUCGGGCUGUCCAUCUGUUUAAAUAACAGGUGAAGAAAGGGCCGGGCAAGACCGGUGCCAGCCGCCGCGGUAAUACCGGCGGCUCGAGUGGUGGCCACUAUUACUGGGCUUAAAGCGUUCGUAGCUGGUCUGUUAAGUCUCUGGGGAAAUCUACUGGCUUAACCAUUAGGCGUCUCAGGGAUACUGGCAGACUAGGGACCGGGAGAGGUGAGAGGUACUCCAGGGGUAGGAGUGAAAUCCUGUAAACCUUGGGGGACCACCUGUGGCGAAGGCGCCUCACCAGAACGGCUUCGACAGUGAGGGACGAAAGCUGGGGGAGCAAACCGGAUUAGAUACCCGGGUAGUCCCAGCCGUAAACGAUGCGCGUUAGGUGU